GACCAGACUCCUACGGGAGGCAGCAGUGGGGAAUAUUGCACAAUGGGGGAAACCCUGAUGCAGCGACGCCGCGUGAGCGAUGAAGUAUUUCGGUAUGUAAAGCUCUAUCAGCAGGGAAGAAAAUGACGGUACCUGACUAAGAAGCCCCGGCUAACUACGUGCCAGCAGCCGCGGUAAUACGUAGGGGGCAAGCGUUAUCCGGAUUUACUGGGUGUAAAGGGAGCGUAGACGGCGGUGCAAGCCAGAUGUGAAAGCCCGGGGCUCAACCCCGGGACUGCAUUUGGAACUGUGCUGCUAGAGUGUCGGAGAGGCAGGCGGAAUUCCUAGUGUAGCGGUGAAAUGCGUAGAUAUUAGGAGGAACACCAGUGGCGAAGGCGGCUUGCUGGACUGAAACUGACGCUGAGGCUCGAAAGCGUGGGGAGCAAACAGGAUUAGAUACCCCAGUAA
Molecule: ribosomal RNA, 447 nt
Filed under: uncultured bacterium
Lineage: Bacteria
Description: bacterial SSU rRNA
Rfam family: Bacterial small subunit ribosomal RNA
Source: RNAcentral